GAGGGUAUAGCUCAAAUGGUAGAGUGCGUGCUUACCACGCACAAGGUCCUGGGUUCAAUCCCCAGGACCUGUU
Camelus ferus (Wild Bactrian camel) is the source of this 73-nucleotide transfer RNA. It matches the Rfam family "tRNA". From Rfam's summary of the family: Transfer RNA (tRNA) molecules are approximately 80 nucleotides in length. Their secondary structure includes four short double-helical elements and three loops (D, anti-codon, and T loops). The record is from Rfam. Lineage: Eukaryota; Metazoa; Chordata; Mammalia; Artiodactyla; Camelidae.